GAGAAGAAGGUUCUCUCCAGGGCCACUGUGUACAAUGGCACAGACCAGUGGUGCCCUCUGGAGUUGGACACCAUGGCCGACUCUCCCCAGCCUUCACCUGACCCCACCGUGGAAUCACGUGCAUUUGAGUUUCUGACUCAAAAGAAUGAAGGCAGCAAACCACUGGGGCUCCUGCCUACCCGCUGCCUCUCUUGUCCCACUAAGUCAGGCUGCUCUCUCUUCUGUCCUUCCCUGUGGUCUCUCGCCUGAGUCCAAAAGAGAGGGACUGACUCCGGGAAAGGCACAGCUUUGGAGAUGAGACCCUGGUGGUAGCAGAUCCUGGGGCAACAAGGACAAAUCAGCCAAACUGAACUAGGAGGACAAGCUGGGCCCAUUGCCUGUCCCAAGCAACCUGGUGUUGGGCUCUCACUCACCGGAACCUGGCUGAUAGACCUCCCGGAUGUCCAGCUCCAGCAGCUCAGCACUGACAGGCUGCAGCACUUGCUCCCGGGCUGCUCUCUUUCUCCGCUCCACCUCCUCGCGGCUGUCUCGCUCAAAAUGCAGCCGGUAUCUAACAGGACGGGACCAGCAGCCUCUCCGGAAGGGAAGACUGUGAUCCGCUCCGGUGACCCAGCGGCCCGUGAAGAACCGCAGCAUCCCAGUCCCACCAUCUCCUGUUUCAAGCCUCCAACAGCAGCAGCCUGCUUUCCCCCAACGCUCUAACUUCCGGGUAGGCGGGGAAGCCCGGGACAGAGCCCCCCGCCCACUCUCACCGAUUUG
Molecule: non-coding RNA, 759 nt
Organism: Vicugna pacos (alpaca)
Lineage: Eukaryota; Metazoa; Chordata; Mammalia; Artiodactyla; Camelidae
Source: RefSeq, a predicted model, not a curated record